CCGCGUGGGCGAGAGCGCGGCGGCCGAGCGAUGGGGCCGCUGGUGGUUCCGGCCCUGAGGCAGCGGCUUCCCAGGUUGAGACCAUUUCAAAGAUUACAGGUCAUCCUGCAACACUUAAAAAUGUCCACGUCUGCCGAUUCUUCAGCCGAAGUCCUGCUCGAGAGAAGAGGCUGUGCUGGUGUUAUAACCUUGAACAGGCCGAAGGCUCUGAAUGCGUUAAAUAUUUCCAUGAUUCGACAGAUAUAUCCCCAG
Gekko japonicus is the source of this 252-nucleotide long non-coding RNA. RefSeq lists it as uncharacterized. NCBI's taxonomy places the organism in Eukaryota, Metazoa, Chordata, Lepidosauria, Squamata, Gekkonidae. The transcript is spliced from 3 exons. The record is from RefSeq and is a predicted model, not a curated record.